AAUGCAGUCGACGGGAUAAUCUUGUGGCAAUACCGGGUUGUUCAGUGGCGAACGGGUGCGUAACACGUGGAUUACAUACCGGAAAGCGAGGAAUAGCCCAGGGAAACUUGGAUUAAUGCCUCAUGUGGUCGCAAGACUAAAGGCGGGGCAACCUGUCGCUUUCUGAUUGGUCCGCGGCCUAUCAGCUAGUUGGCGGGGUAACGGCCCACCAAGGCGACGACGGGUAGCUGGUCUGAGAGGAUGACCAGCCACACUGGAACUGAGACACGGUCCAGACACCUACGGGUGGCAGCAGUCGAGAAUCAUUCACAAUGGGGGCAACCCUGAUGGUGCGACGCCGCGUGGAGGAUAAGGUCUUCGGAUUGUAAACUCCUGUCAUGCGAGAGCAAGAUCUGGGCGGGUAACUCCGCUGGAUUUGAUAGUAUCGCAAGAGGAAGAGACGGCUAACUCUGUGCCAGCAGCCGCGGUAAUACAGAGGUCUCAAGCGUUGUUCGGAAUCACUGGGCGUAAAGGGUGCGUAGGUGGCGUGGAAAGUCAGAUGUGAAAUCCGGGGGCUCAACCUCCGAAUAGCAUCCGAUACUCCCAUGCUAGAGAACUGGAGGGGGAUCUGGAAUUCUCGGUGUAGCAGUGAAAUGCGUAGAUAUCGAGAGGAACACUAGUGGCGAACGCGAGAUCCUGGACAGUAUCUGACACUGAUGCACGAAUGUCACGGGAGCAAACGGGAUUAGAUACCCCGGUAGUCCUGACAGUAAACGGUGCACGUUUGGUGUGGGAGGAUUCGACCCCUUCUGUGCGGAGCUAACGCGUUAAACGUGCCGCCUGGGAGUACGUCGCAGACUAAC
Molecule: ribosomal RNA, 842 nt
Filed under: uncultured bacterium
Lineage: Bacteria
Description: bacterial SSU rRNA
Rfam family: Bacterial small subunit ribosomal RNA
Source: RNAcentral